UUCUACAUCCAUACUACCCUGAGUGUGCCUGAUCUCAUCUGAUCUCAGAAGCUAAGCAGGGUCGGGCCUGGUUAGUACUUGAAGGGAAGACAGAUCUUCAGAAGAGAAC
RNAcentral lists this ribosomal RNA (109 nucleotides) under Castor canadensis (American beaver). The record is from RNAcentral. Lineage: Eukaryota; Metazoa; Chordata; Mammalia; Rodentia; Castoridae.